GUGGUCAUAGUAUAGUGGUUAGUAUAAGUCGUUGUGGCGACACAAGUCCGACUAGACCCAGGUUCGAUUCCUGGUGACCACA
Geopyxis carbonaria is the source of this 82-nucleotide non-coding RNA. NCBI's taxonomy places the organism in Eukaryota, Fungi, Ascomycota, Pezizomycetes, Pezizales, Tarzettaceae. The record is from the annotation of a GenBank genome assembly.